GCCUAAUACAAUGCAAAGUCGAGCGAGCUUGCCUAUUGAAAUUACUUCGGGAAUGGACAUAGAUACAAGCUAGCGCGGAGUGGGUGAGUAACGCGUGGGUAACCCUGCCCUUAAGUCUGGGAUACCAUUUGGAAACAGAUGCUAAUACCGGAUAAAAGACUACUUUCGCAUGAAAGAAGUUUAAAAAGGCGGCGUAAGCUGUCGCUAAAGGAUGGACCUGCGAUGCAUUAGCUAGUUGGUAAGGUAACGGCUUACCAAGGCGAUGAUGCAUAGCCGAGUUGAGAGACUGAUCGGCCACAUUGGGACUGAGACACGGCCCAAACUCCUACGGGAGGCAGCAGUAGGGAACUUUCCACAAUGGACGCAAGUCUGAUGGAGCAACGCCGCGUGAGUGAAGAAGGUUUUCGGAUCGUAAAGCUCUGUUGUUGGUGAAGAAGGAUAGAGGUAGUAACUGGCCUUUAUUUGACGGUAAUCAACCAGAAAGUCACGGGCUAACUACGUGCCAGCAGCCGCGGUAAAU
RNAcentral lists this ribosomal RNA (520 nucleotides) under uncultured Lactobacillus sp. Its description in RNAcentral is "bacterial SSU rRNA". It matches the Rfam family "Bacterial small subunit ribosomal RNA", at positions 46 to 525 of the family's 1533-position model. The record is from RNAcentral. Lineage: Bacteria; Bacillati; Bacillota; Bacilli; Lactobacillales; Lactobacillaceae.